Molecule: transfer RNA, 72 nt
Filed under: Camelus bactrianus (Bactrian camel)
Lineage: Eukaryota; Metazoa; Chordata; Mammalia; Artiodactyla; Camelidae
Also listed under: 2 other names
Rfam family: tRNA
About the family: Transfer RNA (tRNA) molecules are approximately 80 nucleotides in length. Their secondary structure includes four short double-helical elements and three loops (D, anti-codon, and T loops).
Source: Rfam by way of RNAcentral
GAGGGUGUAGCUCGGCAGUAGAGCACAUGCUUAGCAUGCAUGAGGUCCUGGGUUCAAUCCCCACUGCCUCCA